GCUGGCGGCGCGCCUAACACAUGCAAGUCGAACGAAGAAUGCGGAGCUUGCUCUGCAAACUUAGUGGCGAACGGGUGAGUAACGCGUGAGUAACCUGCCUUAAAGAGGGGGACAACAGUUGGAAACGACUGCUAAUACCGCAUAAGCCCACACUACCGCAUGGUAGAGAGGGAAAAGAUUUAUCGCUUUAAGAUGGACUCGCGUCUGAUUAGCUAGUUGGUGGGGUAAUGGCCUACCAAGGCGACGAUCAGUAGCCGGACUGAGAGGUUGAUCGGCCACAUUGGGACUGAGACACGGCCCAGACUCCUACGGGAGGCAGCAGUGGGGGAUAUUGCACAAUGGGGGAAACCCUGAUGCAGCGACGCCGCGUGGAGGAAGAAGGUUUUCGGAUCGUAAACUCCUGUUGUCAGGGACGAUAAUGACGGUACCUGACAAGAAAGUGACGGCUAACUACGUGCCAGCAGCCGCGGUAAAACGUAGGUCACAAGCGUUGUCCGGAAUUACUGGGUGUAAAGGGAGCGCAGGCGGGAAGAUAAGUUGGAAGUGAAAUCUAUGGGCUCAACCCAUAAACUGCUUUCAAAACUAUUUUUCUUGAGUGGUGCAGAGGUAGGCGGAAUUCCUAGUGUAGCGGUGGAAUGCGUAGAUAUUAGGAGGAACACCAGUGGCGAAGGCGGCCUACUGGGGCACUAACUGACGCUGAGGCUCGAAAGCAUGGGUAGCAAACAGGAUUAGAUACCCUGGUAGUCCAUGCC
Molecule: ribosomal RNA, 752 nt
Filed under: uncultured bacterium
Lineage: Bacteria
Description: bacterial SSU rRNA
Rfam family: Bacterial small subunit ribosomal RNA
Source: RNAcentral